Molecule: ribosomal RNA, 449 nt
Filed under: uncultured bacterium
Lineage: Bacteria
Description: bacterial SSU rRNA
Rfam family: Bacterial small subunit ribosomal RNA
Source: RNAcentral
UCCCAGACUCCUACGGGAGGCAGCAGUGAGGGAUAUUGGGCAAUGGGGGAAACCCUGACCCAGCGACGCCGCGUGAGGGAAGACGGUCUUCGGAUUGUAAACCUCUGUCUUUGGGGACGAAAAAGGACGGUACCCAAGGAGGAAGCUCUGGCUAACUACGUGCCAGCAGCCGCGGUAAUACGUAGGGAGCGAGCGUUGUCCGGAAUUACUGGGUGUAAAGGGUGCGUAGGCGGCAUAAUAAGUUAGAAGUGAAAUACCCAGAGCUUAACUCGGGUGCUGCUUCUAAGACUGUUGAGCUUGAGUGCGGGAGAGGUUAAUGGAAUUCCUAGUGUAGCGGUGGAAUGCGUAGAUAUUAGGAGGAACACCAGAGGCGAAGGCGAUUAACUGGACCGUAACUGACGCUGAGGCACGAAAGUGUGGGUAGCAAACAGGAUUAGAUACCCCAGUAA